UUACAAGGAAAAAAACAUUGACUGACUCAC
Molecule: non-coding RNA, 30 nt
Filed under: Rattus norvegicus (Norway rat)
Lineage: Eukaryota; Metazoa; Chordata; Mammalia; Rodentia; Muridae
Source: RNAcentral